This 484-nucleotide ribosomal RNA is filed under the name uncultured bacterium. Its description in RNAcentral is "partial 16S ribosomal RNA". It matches the Rfam family "Bacterial small subunit ribosomal RNA", at positions 30 to 507 of the family's 1533-position model. The record is from RNAcentral.
AUUGAACGCUGGCGGCAGGCCUAACACAUGCAAGUCGAGCGGAAGCAGGGAAAUUGCUCCUGGAUACAGCGGCGGACGGGCGAGCAAUGCCUAGGAACAUGCCUGGUUGUGGGGGAUAACGUCCGGACACGGGCGCUCAUACCGCAUAAGCCCAGAGGGCGAACGUGGGGAAUCAUCGGACCUCACGCCAUUAGAUGAGCCUAUGUCGGAUUAGCUAGUUGGCGGGGUAAAGGCCUACCAAGGCGACGAUCCGUAGCUGGUCUGAGAGGAUGAUCAGACACACUGGAACUGAGACACGGUCCAGACUCCUACGGGAGGCAGCAGUGGGGAAUAUUGGACAAUGGGCGAAAGCCUGAUCCAGCCAUGCCGCGUGGGUGAAGAAGGUCUUCGGGUUGUAGAGCACUUUUGUUUGGAAAGAAAAGCAGUAAGUUAAUACCUUGCUGUUCUGACGGUACCAACAGAAUAAGCACCGGCUAACUUCGUG